UACAGAGGGUGCAAGCGUUAAUCGGAAUUACUGGGCGUAAAGCGUGCGCAGGCGGUUUUGAAAGUCAGAUGUGAAAUCCCCGGGCUCAACCUGGGAACUGCGUUUGAAACUCCAAAGCUAGAGUAUGGGAGAGGGGGGUAGAAUUCCACGUGUAGCAGUGAAAUGCGUAGAGAUGUGGAGGAAUACCAAUGGCGAAGGCAGCCCCCUGGCCUAACACUGACGCUCAUGCUCGAAAGCGUGGGGAGCGAACAGG
Molecule: ribosomal RNA, 253 nt
Filed under: uncultured bacterium
Lineage: Bacteria
Description: partial 16S ribosomal RNA
Rfam family: Bacterial small subunit ribosomal RNA
Source: RNAcentral